CAAUGAGGGGCGUGGUCUCUCUGAGGGGUGGCACUGAGUGUCAUGAAUAUCUCAUGAAUAAAUAAACCACGAAGCAUACCAGACUUCAGAAAAGGAAAACCACAGAAGGCAAAAUGGAAGAACUGUACACAUCUACGCGCUAUUAAAAACCAAGAUGAAUCUGGAGUCUAACAAAGAGACUCUAGUAACAAGCCCUAAAGAAACAAAAACUGGCAUUAAUAAUUUAUUCUACAAUGCUAUUAUCAAUAUGUAUUUAUUUUUAGGCUAAUUCAGCUGAAAAGCUUGCAUGACCACAGUCAUGCACAACUCAGUAAACUAUCCAUCCUCUGGUGAGGAUUCCCAAAGUCUGUUAGAAGAAUGAUUGUUUUUAAGACAUGUUACUGAUGUUUAUAGAUACAAAAAGUGGCAAAAUAAUUAUCUUAAUUAGCCAAAUGGUGAAGAUAAAGCUACCACACUGAUGACAACCCAGUGUAACACCUACUCUUGACAGUAGAACAACAUCCUUUGUAUCACAGCUGUGAUAUUGCUUAAUAAAACAAUGCAGUUUAUUCCAUGGAAGAAACAAAAUGUACCUGUAUUUAUAGAAGUAAAAAAGCCUAAUGACUCCGUGGUGAGAGAAAAGACUUCGGCAAUUUUAGUGGAAAUUCUAUGAGACCCUAACACACCUGAAAACACUGAGAAGGGAUCUCAAGAUGUAGUUACAACUUCUAAGGUGUGCUUCUUGUUACUCAUAGAUUUGUGGCAGACUGGACUACCUAAUGUUUUGACACUCUGCUUUAAAAUAGCUAAAAAAAAUUUAAAAGUA
Pipra filicauda (Wire-tailed manakin) is the source of this 805-nucleotide long non-coding RNA. RefSeq lists it as uncharacterized. The record is from RefSeq and is a predicted model, not a curated record. Lineage: Eukaryota; Metazoa; Chordata; Aves; Passeriformes; Pipridae. The transcript is spliced from 2 exons.